AAGUAACGGCGAGUGAAGCGGCAAAAGCUCAAAUUUGAAAUCUAGCACUUUCAGUGUUCGAGUUGUAAUUUGAAGAAGGUAACUUUGGAAUUGGCUCUUGUCUAUGUUCCUUGGAACAGGACGUCACAGAGGGUGAGAAUCCCGUGCGAUGAGAUGUCCAAUUCUAUGUAAAGUGCUUUCGAAGAGUCGAGUUGUUUGGGAAUGCAGCUCUAAGUGGGUGGUAAAUUCCAUCUAAAGCUAAAUAUUGGCGAGAGACCGAUAGCGAACAAGUACAGUGAUGGAAAGAUGAAAAGAACUUUGAAAAGAGAGUGAAAAAGUACGUGAAAUUGUUGAAAGGGAAGGGCUUGAGAUCAGACUUGGUAUUUUGUGUUCCUUAUUCUUUUUGGAUUUGGUUCCUCACAGCUUACCGGGCCAGCAUCGGUUUGGAUGGUAGGAUAAUGACAUUGGAAUGUAGCUUUGCUUCGGUGAAGUGUUAUAGACUUUGUUGAUACUGCCUAUCUAGACCGAGGACUGCGUCUUUGACUAGGAUGCUGGCGUAAUGAUCUUAAGCCGCCCGUCUUGAACACGGGACCCAAAAC
RNAcentral lists this ribosomal RNA (578 nucleotides) under Dujonia zeylanoides. RNAcentral describes it as "[Candida] zeylanoides partial large subunit ribosomal RNA". It matches the Rfam family "Eukaryotic large subunit ribosomal RNA", at positions 81 to 664 of the family's 3401-position model. Lineage: Eukaryota; Fungi; Ascomycota; Pichiomycetes; Serinales; Debaryomycetaceae. The record is from RNAcentral.